Molecule: ribosomal RNA, 227 nt
Filed under: uncultured bacterium
Lineage: Bacteria
Description: partial 16S ribosomal RNA
Rfam family: Bacterial small subunit ribosomal RNA
Source: RNAcentral
GUAUCCUGGCUCAGGAUGAACGCUAGCUACAGGCUUAACACAUGCAAGUCGAGGGGCAGCAUGGUCUUAGCUUGCUAAGACUGAUGGCGACCGGCGCACGGGUGAGUAACACGUAUCCAACCUGCCGUCUACUCUUGGGACAGCCUUCUGAAAGGAAGAUUAAUACAAGAUGGCAUCAUGAGUCCGCAUGUUCAUAUGAUUAAAGGUAUUCCGGUAGACGAUGGGGA